GCGAGUCAAGCCGCGAUUGGAAGGACUUUGAGCAUAAGAACUCGGCGAGUCAGUAAGUGGACUCGGCGAGUAGGGUUGACCUGGAAGGUUGACUUUGACCAGGACUUUGACUUUGGCAAGAGUUGACUUGGUUGACCUUUGAAGGUCAGUUAGACUAAGUGUUAUGUUGAUGUUGGUAGCUCGGGGAGCUAGUGGAGCAGCAGUUCGGAGUCAGUGGUCAGGUAGCGGUCAAAGGGAUUAGCAGCAGCAUUUCAGCAGUAUCAGGUGAGUUUCCCUUUGUGUGAAUGGGUCUACGGCCACAAUGUCGGCCCAUGUAGACAUGAGUAGAAGACCCAGGGGUUAGCCCUAGGCAUCGUAUGCUAGUAUGUUGUUCGGGACGAGGUCCAAUGUUAGCGGGCGGGUGCCCAAGGAAUGGUUAUGUGAUAGUUUAUACUUGUUGUCUGUGUGAUACUUGUAUGUGCCUGGUAGGGAGGUGAGUGUGGGCGAGGUCCCGUAUCUCACCAAUAGCAGAGUGUGGAUGGUGUUCCACAUCUCAGUAGCAGCAGAGUAGGGGCGAGGCCCAAGUCAGGAAGGGAGUGAGUGUGGACUGGGCCCGUAUCUCACUACCAUUAGGAGCAUGGAUGGGGUUCCGUGACUCAUCAGUAGCAGGUCAGGGGCGGGGCCCAGAGAUAGGCGAGGCCUUAGGACAAGAUCCGUUAGUAUGUGUUUAUCUUAUGUGAGAUGUUUAUGUGCUAUUAUGUGAUAGCGGGCGAGGCCCUGUGACAGGCGAGGCCUACGUGAAACAGAUCUGUAUCCGAGCGGGGCUCGAAGCCAUGCGGGGCCUGGAGCGGCGGGGCCGUUGUAGGGGGCGAGGCCCAGGAUAGCGGGCGCAGCCCAGUAUGUGCAGUAUGUNNNNNNNNNNNNNNNNNNNNNNNNNNNNNNNNNNNNNNNNNNNNNNNNNNNNNNNNNNNNNNNNNNNNNNNNNNNNNNNNNNNNNNNNNNNNNNNNNNNNAAAGUAUCAGCCAUUGGGUGGAUUUUGGAGCCUUUUGGUCUUAAAUCCUAGUUCAUGGUGUAUUUUGCUUAGAUCUCCAUUUUUACACGUAAAGUUUGCAACUUUACGUGGGGAAUAGGCUUGGGAAGGGUAGAUCUACAGUUUGGAGUCCAUGCAUGACUCGAAAGUCCUCUACAUGUAAGUAGAUCUUAAUGGACUCGGCGAGUCCUUCGAGUCGACUCGGUGUGUAGCUUGAAGACAAGGAGGAACUUGACGAGUGGGAUGAACAGCUCGUCGAUUCGGAUGAAGAUAGGCAUGAACUCGGCGAGUUGGAUGAACAACUCGGCGAGUUAGAUGAAAAUUGUCGUGUGAUCGGCGAGUCUGUUCUUAGACUCGGCGAGUCAGGUCGCGUAGUCCCAAACCCUUCGAGUUAAGACUCGAGUCAGCGAGUUGAGCAAAGACUCAGUGAGUUGGUCAGGACAGGAUUCAGGAAUCUGUAGACUCGGCGAGUCAGGGGCUGACUCGGCGAGUCAAGUCGCGAUUGGAAGGACUUUGAGCAUAAGAACUCGGCGAGUCAGUAAGUGGACUCGGCGAGUAGAGUUGACCUGGAAGGUUGACUUUGACCAGGACUUUGACUUUGGCAAGAGUUGACUUGGUUGACCUUUGAAAGUCAGUUAGACUAAGUGUUAUGUUGAUGUUGGUAGCUCGAGGAGCUAGUGGAGCAGCAGUUCGGAGUCAGUGGUCAGGUAGCGGUCAAAGGGAUUAGCAGCAGCAGUUCAACAGUAUCAGGUGAGUUUCCCUUUGUGUGAAUGGGUCUACGGCCACAAUGCCGGCCCAUGUAGUUAUGAGUAGAAGACCCGGGGGUUAGCCCUAGGCACAGUAUGCUAGUAUGAUAUUCGGACGAGGUCCAAUGACAGAGGGCGGGUGCCCAAGGAGCGGUUUAUGUGAUAGUUUAUACUUGUUGUCUGUGUGAUACUUGUAUGUGCCUGGUAGGGAGGUGAGUGUGGGCGAGGUCCCGUAUCUCACCAAUAGCAGNGGAGUGAGUGUGGGUUGGGCCCGUAUCUCACUACCAGUAGGAGCAUGGACGGGGUUCCGUGACUCAUCAGUAGCAGGUCAGGGGUGGGGCCCAGAGAUAGGCGAGGCCUUAGGACAAGAUCCGUUAGUAUGUGUUUAGCUUAUGUGAGAUGUUAUGUGCUAUUAUAUGAUAGCGGGCGAGGCCCUGUGACAGGCGAGGCCUACGUGAAAUAGAUCUGUAUCCGAGCAGGGCUCAAAGCUAGGCGGGGCCUUGAGCGGCGGGGCCGUUGUAGCGGGCGAGGCCCGAGGUAGGGGGCGAGGCCCAGGAUAGCGGGCGCGACCCAGUAUGUGCAGUUUGUGGUUAUGCAUGGUAUGUGGUAGGGUGGGGAACUCACUAAGCUUCGUGCUUACGGUUUUCAGUUUUGGUUUCAGGUACCUCCGGUAGCGGAUGAUGGAGCUCGGGAUGAUCGCAUGGCACACACCAUAGCUUAGACAGCCUGGGAAUGUUUACUCUGAUAACGAAUAUGUAUUUUGGAAACUAACACUUUGUUUAUGUUUGAAAACGAUGAAUUUGCUUAACGUAAUGUUUUAUCAAAUGAAAUUUUUAGUCUUGAAUUUUUGGAUGUUACAUCUAUAAUCAAAUUACUCUAUAUAAUUAUCUUAUAAGAAAGAAGAUUCUUACUUUGAGAUGUUAGCUUAAAUAUGAGAAGAUUUUCAAUCAUGUAUGUUUUCUCCCUUGAAAACUCUCUUACUAUUUAUAGUCAAACUAUAUCGAGGAAGAUUAAUCAAGCCCAUACUUUAUGAGCAUAC
Molecule: long non-coding RNA, 2794 nt
Filed under: Lactuca sativa (garden lettuce)
Lineage: Eukaryota; Viridiplantae; Streptophyta; Magnoliopsida; Asterales; Asteraceae
Description: long non-coding RNA (LSAT_LNC002240)
Source: RNAcentral